RNAcentral lists this ribosomal RNA (339 nucleotides) under Cystidicola farionis. RNAcentral's name for it is "eukaryotic LSU rRNA". It matches the Rfam family "Eukaryotic large subunit ribosomal RNA", at positions 651 to 958 of the family's 3401-position model. RNAcentral also lists the same sequence under 1 other name. The record is from RNAcentral. Lineage: Eukaryota; Metazoa; Nematoda; Chromadorea; Rhabditida; Cystidicolidae.
CUCUUGAAACACGGACCAAGGAGUCUAGCAUAUGCGCAAGUUAUUUGGUGGUAAACCAUAAAAACGUAAUGAAAGUAAACGUCGUCUUGAUACGAUGAAAUAUGUGAGCUGUGUGUUGAUUAAUAUGCGCACAGUGCAACAUAGCCCUGUUCUCGUUGCUUGCAAUAGAACGGAGGUAGAGCGCAUACGCUGGGACCCGAAAGAUGGUGAACUAUGCCUGAGCAGGAUGAAGCCAGAGGAAACUCUGGUGGAGGUCCGAAGCGAUUCUGACGUGCAAAUCGAUCGUCUGACUUGGGUAUAGGGGCGAAAGACUAAUCGAACUAUCUAGUAUCUGGUUCC